Molecule: ribosomal RNA, 528 nt
Filed under: uncultured bacterium
Lineage: Bacteria
Description: bacterial SSU rRNA
Rfam family: Bacterial small subunit ribosomal RNA
Source: RNAcentral
GCUGGCGGCGCGCCUAAUGCAUGCAAGUCGAGCGACGCAUAUCGGAGGAGUAAUCCACUGAUAUGACGGAGCGGCGAACGGGUGAGUAUCACGUGAGAAACCUGCCCCGAAGACCGGGAUAGCCCGGGGAAACCCGGAUUAAUACCGGAUACCCUCUACAGAUCGCAUGGUCUGUUGAGGAAAGGCCUUUGCGCUUCGGGAUGGUCUCGCGACCUAUCAGCUAGUUGGUGAGGUAACGGCUCACCAAGGCAACGACGGGUAGCUGGUCUGAGAGGACGAUCAGCCACACUGGGACUGAGACACGGCCCAGACUCCUACGGGAGGCAGCAGCAGGGAAUCUUGUCCAAUGGGCGCAAGCCUGAGACAGCGACGCCGCGUGGGGGAUGAAGGCCUUCGGGUUGUAAACCCCUUUCAGGAGGGACGAAAUUGACGGUACCUCCAGAAGAAGCCCCGGCCAACUACGUGCCAGCAGCCGCGGUAAUACGUAGGGGGCGAGCGUUGUCCGGAAUUAUUGGGCGUAAAGGGCUC